UAGGGAAUCUUCCGCAAUGGACGAAAGUCUGACGGAGCAACGCCGCGUGAGUGAAGAAGGAUUUCGGUUCGUAAAACUCUGUUGUUAGGGAAGAAAAAAUGUAUAGUAACUAUAUACAAAAGAGACGGUACCUAACCAGAGAGCCACGGCUAACUACGUGCCAGCAGCCGCGGUAAUACGUAGGUGGCAAGCGUUGUCCGGAAUUAUUGGGCGUAAAGCGCGCGCAGGUGGUUUAGAAAGUCUGAUGUGAAAGCCCACGGCUCAACCGUGGAGGGUCAUUGGAAACUAAUAAACUUGAGUGCAGGAGAGAAAAGUGGAAUUCCGAGUGUAGCGAUGAAAUGCGUAGAGAUUAGGAGGAACGCCGGUGGCGAAAGCGGCUUUUUGGCCUGCAACUGACACUGAGGCGCGAAAGCGUGGGGAGCAAACAGG
RNAcentral lists this ribosomal RNA (429 nucleotides) under Verrucomicrobiota bacterium. RNAcentral's name for it is "Verrucomicrobia bacterium partial 16S ribosomal RNA". It matches the Rfam family "Bacterial small subunit ribosomal RNA", at positions 355 to 776 of the family's 1533-position model. The record is from RNAcentral. Lineage: Bacteria; Pseudomonadati; Verrucomicrobiota.